Molecule: non-coding RNA, 69 nt
Organism: Rattus norvegicus (Norway rat)
Lineage: Eukaryota; Metazoa; Chordata; Mammalia; Rodentia; Muridae
Source: Rfam
GGGGAUUUAGCUCAGUGGUAGAGCGCUUGCCUAGCAAGCACAAGGCCCUGAGUUCGAUCCCCAGCUCCG